Long non-coding RNA from Mytilus californianus (California mussel), 1121 nucleotides. RefSeq lists it as uncharacterized. NCBI's taxonomy places the organism in Eukaryota, Metazoa, Mollusca, Bivalvia, Mytilida, Mytilidae. The transcript is spliced from 3 exons. The record is from RefSeq and is a predicted model, not a curated record.
AAUGAUAUUCGUCGAACUGGAUAUUAUAAUGUAUAACAGGUUUUUGUGAAAGCUUAUAUUGAUUGAAAGGUACUGUUUUUAAUUAAUGGAAAACGAAAUUGAUUUAUCUCUCUGAACUCAUUUAAAAUGUACUGAACCAUUGAUAAUGAAAAAAACAUUUAGUUUAAAAUUUAAUUAAAAACAAAUUGAAAUUUCUCGUUUAAUGAAGCAUGUUUAAAAAAGAAGCGGAUUGUAAUUAGAUACAUUCUACUGACCAGUUAUGAAGCAUUGCAAUAAUGAAAGAAUAUAUCAUAUUGAUAAUUUUUCAGUACUUUGAAGAUAUGUCUGCAUCUUUAGUUAGUGAAAUAUUGGUUCAUACACCAAAUACAGGGAAUGGUGUGUAUUGGGUUCCUAAUGCUCCUGAACUCAGUCACCCUUUGAACCAGUAUGGAUAUGACGCCUCACAAAACUAUACAAUAAGCUUUGACCUCAAAGUUUGCAGUGAUGCAUUUGUAUAUUUAUCCGCCUCUCCCAUAAUGGAUAAAAAUGCAGCAUUGUAUGAAAUUUGUAUAGGAGGAGGUGGAGGGAAAAAGGUUUUUUUGCGCCGAAAGGAUGCUACAUUUGAAAAUGUUGCCAGUAACGUGCUUGGAGACGGAAGCACACAAUGUGGAUCAUUUCAACCAUUUUGGAUUUCAUGGCAAAAUGGAAAUAUUAAGAUAGGCAAAGGGUUGUCUAUAGACAACGAAGUAGUGAUUGAUUGGAAUGAUCCCAAUCCUUUCAUUAUCUAUGGUAUAGGUGUGAGAACAGGCGUUGGACAAUCAGGACAAUGGACUAUUCAUAUGGAAGCUCUUGGUUACUUUUGUUUACACACAGAAACCCGGGGUACAAUGGAACUGGUCAAGACCACUUUAGCGACGGAAUAUAUUUGUACUUACUUAUGCCACGGAAUCCAUAACUGCAUGGGAUUCAAUUUCAAUGUACAUUCAAGUGUAUGUGAAUUGAUAUCGACUGGAGAACCACUGCUAACAGUAACGGAGUCAGGUUGGACAUUUGGUACAAAAUGUUUCCAGGGGAAAUGUUAUGCUUGUAUAUAGUACAAUGCUGAUGACGUGUUUCGUUUUGCAUAACUUAUUACUUUUUAU